RNAcentral lists this ribosomal RNA (163 nucleotides) under Plectocephalus americanus. RNAcentral's name for it is "5.8S ribosomal RNA". It matches the Rfam family "5.8S ribosomal RNA". Rfam says of the family: 5.8S ribosomal RNA (5.8S rRNA) is a component of the large subunit of the eukaryotic ribosome. It is transcribed by RNA polymerase I as part of the 45S precursor that also contains 18S and 28S rRNA. Lineage: Eukaryota; Viridiplantae; Streptophyta; Magnoliopsida; Asterales; Asteraceae. The record is from RNAcentral. RNAcentral also lists the same sequence under 5 other names.
UAAACGACUCUCGGCAACGGAUAUCUCGGCUCACGCAUCGAUGAAGAACGUAGCAAAAUGCGAUACUUGGUGUGAAUUGCAGAAUCCCGUGAACCAUCGAGUUUUUGAACGCAAGUUGCGCCCGAAGCCAUUCGGCCGAGGGCACGUCUGCCUGGGCGUCACG